CUCAAAGGAAAUGCCUGUCCCUAUUGUUAGCCUUCUCCAUGCCUCUCCCAAGGUCAUGCUGGGACAAGGGUCUGAUGUAAGAGGGAAGCUUGUCUGCAACAGUUUGGUCCACCAAGUUACAAAAGGAAAAAAAGGAGUUCACAGAAAUGUGAUAGAUGAGACCAGAGGAAUGUGACUAUACAAGAAGAGGAAAAAUCAAUGGGCGUCUCAGACUGUGAAGAUGAGUGAUGAUGAUGAACAGUGAUUUUUAAAAAAACACACAAAAACA
This is a long non-coding RNA of Eptesicus fuscus (big brown bat), 268 nucleotides long. RefSeq lists it as uncharacterized. The record is from RefSeq and is a predicted model, not a curated record. The transcript is spliced from 3 exons. NCBI's taxonomy places the organism in Eukaryota, Metazoa, Chordata, Mammalia, Chiroptera, Vespertilionidae.